Long non-coding RNA from Hibiscus syriacus, 145 nucleotides. RefSeq lists it as uncharacterized. The transcript has 3 exons. Lineage: Eukaryota; Viridiplantae; Streptophyta; Magnoliopsida; Malvales; Malvaceae. The record is from RefSeq and is a predicted model, not a curated record.
UCGGGUGACUCAAACGCCUUAAAAUAUUUAAUUUGAGAUGGAAUAAACUACAAGAUGUUCUUCCUUCUAAAAUUGGCGAGCUUAAGAGUCUAACACAUCUGUAUCUGAGCUUUAACAAUUUUAAAGGGGAGAUCCCGAAGGAGUU